Molecule: long non-coding RNA, 208 nt
Filed under: Mytilus galloprovincialis (Mediterranean mussel)
Lineage: Eukaryota; Metazoa; Mollusca; Bivalvia; Mytilida; Mytilidae
Source: RNAcentral
UGAGAUUUCUUCCUCCGUUAUAUUCUGUUCGCUUUGGAACACAUAUGGUAUUAUAAUGAUAAUUAUUUGCAAAAUUCGACGCAGCUUUUAUGUCGAUUUCAAGCCAUGUUUUGAUCAAGGUUCAUGAGUAUCUUAACCAUAAUUGUAUAGACCUUCAAUAACCAUAUUUCACCAAUUUGUACUCAGGGGACGAUUUGAUAUUCUGAAU